Long non-coding RNA from Pongo pygmaeus (Bornean orangutan), 4222 nucleotides. RefSeq lists it as uncharacterized. The record is from RefSeq and is a predicted model, not a curated record. Lineage: Eukaryota; Metazoa; Chordata; Mammalia; Primates; Hominidae. The transcript is spliced from 3 exons.
AUGGGGUCUCUACCUGGCCGGUGCCACGUUGUCUGCUUUUUUACUGCACGUGUGGUGACGAAGAAAAGGAAAAAGAUAACCUCCAUGUUGAAUAUACCUGCCUUCCAGCCUCUUGGUGUGUUUCCAGUCUACAAGGAUUCUCUUAAUAUUUCCAAGUGAUUUGCAAGCAGAAAACUAAAAGGUGACUUUGUUUUCCAAUCGCAUAUUUAUCUAUUUAGAUAGUCGUUAGCAUAGUAUUCAAAAGCCAUCUGAGAAUGACUUUGCGUGACUAAAAACAAAGAAGGAAAGAUGUCAAACCUCAAUACACAAGCAUGAGCCUUCUUUUCAUUGCAGGCCACACAGAGGAACACCACAAUUUUUCUUAGUAUUGAAGUUCAGCUCAACCUCAACCAAUCUUUAACUGUGUAUCAUAGAGAUUUUUUUUUCAUAGAAAACAAUUUCCAGUUUACAGAAAGAAAUGUCAGACUCAGUCUAUCAGAGCUUUAGAAUUAACAAGGAAGAUGAACAACACAGUAUAAGCAAAAUUGCUCGUUUUUGUAAGCUAACUGCAACCACACAGAUGAGAAAGUCUUCCAUUGAUAUGAUGGCUAUCAUGCAUAUAGUUUUAUAUGUUUCUAAGAAUUGAAAGUAGAACUAUCAGAACUUCAGAUACAUUUUGAAGAGAUAAUGUUAUUUAUUUAUUUUGAGACAGGGUCUUGGCUCUGUCAUUCAGGCUGAAGUGCAAUAGCAAGAUCACAGCUCAUUGCAGCCUCGACCACCCGGGUUCAAGUGAUCCUUCCACCUUAGCCUCCUGAGUAGCUGAGACUACAGACACUUGCCACGAUGCCUGGCUAAUUUUUAAAUUUUUUGUAGACACGGGAGUCUCACUAUGUUGCCCAAGGCUGAUGUCGAACUCCUGGGCUCAAGCAAUCCUCCUGCCUUAGCCUCCCAAAGUGCUGGGAUUAUAGGCAUGAGCCACCACUCCUGGCAAGGAGAUAAUUUUAUUUAUUUAUUUAUUUAGUUAGUUAGUUAGUUAUUUUUUGAGACGGAGUCUUGCUCUGUCACCCAGGCUGGAGUGCACUGGUGCCAUCUCAGCUCACUGCAACCUCUGGCUCCCAGGCUCAAGUGAUUUGCCUGCCUCAGCCUCCUGAGUAGCUGGGAUUACAGGUGUGCACCAACAUGCCCAGCUUUUUAUUGUAUUUUUAGUAGAGAUGGGGUUUCAACAUGUUGGCUAAGCUGGUCUCAAACUCCUGACCUCAGGUGAUCUGCCUGCCUCAGUCUCCCAAAGUGCUGGGAUUACAGGUAUGAGCCACCAUGCCUGGCCAAGGAGAUAAUUUUAAGUGAUCAGAAUUUUUGGAGGCAUAUCAUACAUGUACGCGUAUGAUCUCUGAAAACUGUUUUAAAGAUAAAGUCAGCAAAGUACAGCCUGUUGGCCAAAUCUGACCCACCACCUGUUCUUGUAAUGCUGUGAACUAAGAAUAGUUUUUGCAUUUUUAAAUUUUAAAAGGUUGAAAAAAUCAAAAGAAGAAUAAAAUUUUAUAAUAUGUGAAAAUUAUCUGAAUUUCAAAUGUCAGUGUCCAUAAAUAAGGUUUUAUUGAAGCACAGCUCACCCAUCCGUUAUGUACCAGCUGCGUUCAUGCUAUAAUAGCAGAGCUGAGUAGUUAUGACAGAGACUUUCUGGCCAAGAAAGCCUAAUGUACUUACUAGUUGGCUCUUUCCAGAGACUGUUUGUCAACCCUGUUUUAAGAGCUUUCCUCUAAAGAAACACAAGCCUUUAGUAAACUGAAGACUUCUUCAUAAAGAUUUUCUGUGUCAGUGAUACAUUAUGUUAAGAAAAGAAAAUGCAUGAAUUUAGUAAAGAUAACAUUGAUAUUAUAGACUAAAACAAUAGGCAUGACUUUAAUUAUAUUUAGGAUGCUUAUUUUCCCACCUUAUUUCAGUAGCAUAGUUAUAAGAACACAUGCUUUAGGGUGAUCAUUCUUUUUUCUUGAAUUUUGUUGAGCUUUGCAUGACCUUGGACUAGUUACCUAACCUCUUGUAAGCCUCAGGUUUCCUACAAGAACAGAAUAAUAGCAAUACCAACCUCAUGGGAGUGUGGUAAGUACCAAAAUGGGUAAGUGGGGCAUUUUUGGGAGGGAAUUACUUAGCUUGUUAUCUGGUAGUAGGUGUGCAAUAGAUUAUAAUUAUCAUCAUUCUCUGAAAAUGUCAUUUUUGCUUUCUGGUGCUCCAUUUCUAGUACUGCCUGUAAGGUCUAUUUUGACAAGGAAAUCUGUAAGAACCUGCCAACAUCAUUUUGCAUAGCAAGAGCCCUUCUCUGUGUUACAAUCUGGACAAAAACUGUCCUCAGUUGCAUGAAUCCAAGAAUACACUUGACAGAAGAAUGGAAAAAAGGAAGCCUAGGAAGUCUAGAAACAAAAAUCAUCGUGAUGAGCAGUGCUGGAAGGCUGGUCAGCAGCCAGAGUACAGCUUGUGAGCAGCAUAUUGGGAUUUUUUUUUUUUUUUCCAUGUUAGACUCUAUUCCAACUCUUUCUAUGGAGAGUCCACGGUUUUGUGAUGGGUUGUUGAUGAAGGAAAGCUCUGAAUUUUUUAGAGUGGAUGAAGUGUUUGUCAUUUUAUUCCAUUUUAUGUUAGGUUAACACUGCCAUUUUUCUUUUAUUAUUCGAUGUCUUAGCUGAUGUCUCCCAGGCGAAAAGUACCCAGAAAAUCAUGAGAGUGCAGUUCCUGGAAACUCAGUGUUUUCUUUCUCGCUGGGCUUGCUCUGCCUUUAGAAUUGUUGUGACUCUGGAUUCCUGCAGAGGAACUAGGGCCUGGGGUGACCUCAUGGCUCCUCAGCUAUGAUGCACCUUCUCUUUUCUUCCCUUAUCUCAAGUAGGUCCUGAGCAGCACAGCCCAGGUGGUCUCUUCUGCUCACCAGGGGUGGCCUGGAGUCAAUUGAUAAGAGCCCUCUUUUCUUGGCCCUUACAAAACAAAUUUCUGCCUAAAGACAACUAAAGGGAAGAAAAACACCACCAAACCAACAACUCCUUUGUACUUCCAUUAUCCCCAAAAUUAGAUAAAGAAAAAUUAGAAUACCAGGAGGCAGCAGACACCUCCACAAUGCAGCUUGGAAACAGAAUUUCUAUAGAUCUGCUGUCCUUUUUUUUAAAUCACAUAGAAGAGUUUGUACAAAUCUCAUUUGUUUUCACUUACUUCAUUUUUGUGUCUUGACACAUUAUUUUGAGGAAAAUGCCUCUGAAUUUUAUCCUUGCUCUUCAAUUACGGUUGAACAGGAACUGUUAAUUGAGUUUAGCCACUCAAAAGAAGAACAAAGUAUUUUAUCAUUCUUACAUAUUCUGGUUGGACUCAUGGUUAAAGAAGACAAAUAGAAACACUCACACAUCAGCCUGGUGUGGGGAUAAAACCAAAAACAGUGAUGCUCACAGGCAUGCCUGAGAGUGGAAUGGUGGUGGUGGGGGGGUGCCUGUUUACUGGUAGUAGGAGUAACUCUCGUCAUCAUAUUCUAGCUCAUCUACGUCAUCAUCAUCCAGCAGCCCAUACUUAAAUUUCCGGUAGACUGUGCCAUCCUGGCCCAUGUAGACGAUGUCAUCAUCAUCAUCCUCAUCAUAGUCCCGAUCCCUGUACUCAAUCACCUGAUCCUCUUCAAAGCUGGUGCUCUCUCGAUAGCUGCUCUUAUAGGAGGAGUAAGACUUGUUGGGGUCGGCCAGUUUUUCAUAGCCGGCCCUUGCUGCUGGCUGGGCUCGGCCGCGAGAUUUCUUCCACACUACCACAGCUGCCCCGAGCAGAAGCACCAGCAUCAUGGAGGAGGUGAUGAACAGAGCUGUCUUGAAAUGCUCAGUUGCAGUCCUAACCUUGCUUGUUCGAAGGAUGCAUUCGUCUGUUGGAAGAAAACCCCAAAGGAAGAGGCAAGAGGGAAAGAGUGGAAGAAAUAGAAUAGAGAAAAUUAGUUUCUGAGAGACAGCAUCUCACUAUGUUGCCCUGGCUGGCCUCAAACUCUUGGGCUCAAGAGAUCCUCCCACCUUGGUCUCCCAAAGUGCUGGGAUUACAGACGUGAGCCACCGCACCCAGCCUGUCUCUGAUUUUCCUAGUGAUUUGCAAGCAGUAUGCCUUCCUAGAAGGCAUGCCAUUGUAUAAAAUUGGAGUAUGUACCCCGUGAGAAUCCUAGCCUAUGUCUGAUGAAGCCAAUAAAUCCUUCUAGAAAGAAGGUCAGUUUGCCAUCCAAAGGGAGUUCCCUUACCCCCAUACC